UACGUAGGGUGCAAGCGUUGUCCGGAAUUAUUGGGCGUAAAGAGCUCGUAGGCGGUUUGUCGCGUCUGCUGUGAAAACUCAGGGCUUAACCCUGAGCCUGCAGUGGGUACGGGCAGACUAGAGUGUGGUAGGGGAGAUCGGAAUUCCUGGUGUAGCGGUGGAAUGCGCAGAUAUCAGGAGGAACACCGGUGGCGAAGGCGGCAUCCUGGACCGACACUGACGCUGAGGAGCGAAAGCCAGGGGAGCAAACGGG
Molecule: ribosomal RNA, 253 nt
Filed under: uncultured bacterium
Lineage: Bacteria
Description: partial 16S ribosomal RNA
Rfam family: Bacterial small subunit ribosomal RNA
Source: RNAcentral